GACGAACGCUGGCGGCGUGCCUAAUACAUGCAAGUUGAGCGAUGAAGAUUGGUGCUUGCACCCAUUUGAAGAGCAGCGAACGGGUGAGUAACGCGUGGGGAAUCUGCCUUUGAGCGGGGGACAACAUUUGGAAACGAAUGCUAAUACCGCAUAACAACUUUAAACAUAAGUUUUAAGUUUGAAAGAUGCAAUUGCAUCACUCAAAGAUGAUCCCGCGUUGUAUUAGCUAGUUGGUGAGGUAAAGGCUCACCAAGGCGAUGAUACAUAGCCGACCUGAGAGGGUGAUCGGCCACAUUGGGACUGAGACACGGCCCAAACUCCUACGGGAGGCAGCAGUAGGGAAUCUUCGGCAAUGGACGAAAGUCUGACCGAGCAACGCCGCGUGAGUGAAGAAGGUUUUCGGAUCGUAAAACUCUGUUGGUAGAGAAGAACGGUGGUGAGAGUGGAAAGCUCAUCAAGUGACGGUAACUACCCAGAAAGGGACGGCUAACUACGUG
RNAcentral lists this ribosomal RNA (497 nucleotides) under uncultured bacterium. Its description in RNAcentral is "partial 16S ribosomal RNA". It matches the Rfam family "Bacterial small subunit ribosomal RNA", at positions 28 to 507 of the family's 1533-position model. The record is from RNAcentral.